UAUUGUUGCCCCCAACCCCGUUAUGAGGCAACGGUUGUGAAGGACCGUUAGUGGUCCUGCUCAGCCAUUGGUGGGUGCGGCAAUGGGUCCCGCCCACAAGCAACUGUCAAUAAGCGACUGUUAGCGGUCCCGUUGCGCCAUUGGUUGGUGCAGCAGUGGGUCCUGCCCACAAGCAACCAACUGUCAAGGAGCGGCCAUUAGUGAGGAAUUCAGCCAGCGAUCGGUGAGUGGUGGUCAUCAGGUGGAGAGUGAGAUGCUGCUGACAAAGGUACUGUCAUCUCGUUUCGACUAUAAAGGAAGAAUCCAAAGCUGAAGAUAAGGCUACCAAACUUUGGAACCAUGAUGCUGCAGCCAGCUGCAAGGUGUGUAAAAUUCAGAAGUCAGACCACUGACCCAAAUGAUGGCUAAAGAACUCAGACUAUUGAUGCAUUUGAAUUGUUCAGUGUGUGGAGGAACUGCUGGGCUAUUACCUAAGCCUCAGGAUUUAUAGCAUACAAUGGAGCAGAAUGCAGAACUGCUUGGAAUAUACCCAAUGCUCAAAAGAGAAGUCAUGACUGAAAAAAAAAAAACAAACACUUUGCUCAAUUAUACAACAAAAUUCCCCUCAGGGAGUUAGUCUGUAUAAACUCCAAGUGAACAUAGCAUCCGCUCUGUCAUCUUGCAUUGUUCUCUGAAAGUGCAAAUUAGUAAAGAAGCAGAAAAGAAUUUAUGAUGCCCUGAA
This is a long non-coding RNA of Bubalus bubalis (water buffalo), 721 nucleotides long. RefSeq lists it as uncharacterized. The transcript has 4 exons. The record is from RefSeq and is a predicted model, not a curated record. NCBI's taxonomy places the organism in Eukaryota, Metazoa, Chordata, Mammalia, Artiodactyla, Bovidae.